GCUAUAUUCUCACGGCAUAUCACAUGAACGUCUCAGGAAGAGGGCAGAGGUGUGGGCAAUCUUACUGCAAAUUUUGUUACAAUUUCUGGGAAAUAUUUUUUUCUACCAUUGUUUCCUAGUGUUACUACCUCCAAUUGAAAUCCAGACUUAUUUUACGUGUGGUAAUCGUGGUUCCGCUAAUAUAUUUUCUAAUAAUAAUACCUAAAUAUGUGUGUGUGUGUGUGUGUGUGUGUGUGUGUGUGUGUGUGGCAAAAUGUAAUGCAAUUUUAGAAAACUAUAAAAAAUAUGUAAUAAACCUAAAAAUACUGAUCUUCCCACAUACAUUUAAAUUCAAUGCUGUUGUUUAUGUUUGUUUUGAUAAUGAGUAUAGAUGUGGUUUCAUCACUUAUGCUAACCUUGUAAAGUGCGAAGUGGACACAUUAGGAAUAUUAAGUUACUUUUCUGUACAAUAAACAAAUCAACAUCCACAUGUGAACAAUGCUCUAAAUGUAAAUAACUUUAAUGUAAGCAUUACCUGAUGAUAUAUUUUGUUUUCAUUUGGCAGUAACAGUCUUACUGCCCACCUUCUUUUUUUUUAUUGCUUGGGUGGAUGGACGAGCUUGCAGCCCACCUGGUGUUAAGUGGUUACUGAAGCCCAUAGACAUCUACGACGUAAAUGCGCCCCCAACCUUGAUAUAUCAGUUCUAUGGUCUCAGUAUAGUUACAAUGGCUGCCCCACCCUUCAAACCGAAAUGCAUUACUGCUUAACGGCAAAAAUAGGGACCACCACCUCGUGGUAAGUGGUUACCGGGGCACACAGAUAACUCAAAUGCAGCAGCACAUCUCAAAAAGUCCUGGUGUAAUCUCUACCGUUUUUUAAUGAUCCCCGUCUCAGAUUCAAAGCUAGAUCACAUGAGUGGUCUGCAGCAGAACUCAGGCAAAACAGGAAAAUCUAUUUAGGCAUCAGUAAAACUGUACAAUAGCUUUAUUCACUAGGAAAUCAAUAUGAAAACCUGGGAAUCAAAUGAGUUUUUGUACUAUUCGGUUGAAUUUGUAAUUAGUGAUUACUAGAUAGUGUAGAAAUAUGAAUCUCAAUUAUAACAAUUACGUGCCAUUGGAUAUUCUUGUCAAAUUGUCUACUUAAAAAAAUGAAUGAUUACCUUCUAGAAGAAAAAUAUAGAACUUAUAAGAAGUUUUCAUACAAAAUUCUGUUUUUUUUUUUUUUCAGGAGAAACAAAUAUACAAUAACCAGCCAAAUUAUUUAUAUUUUCGUGGCAAUAAUCAGUAUGUGACUAGGUAAAUAUUUAAGAACAUUUUUAUCAAAAACCACAUUGAAAGGUCAAUGAACUUUUUUCUGAAUUAAACAUUUGAAAUAAUUUAAAUUAAUUUUAACAACAUCACCACAACUCUACAAAUAAUAUUGACGUACUUAGAGCUUUUAAUAUAAUUUGCAUGAAGUCAUAAAACCCCCCGGCAUUCGAAGGGGCGGACAGUACGAACGCCCGCAUCAAAGAAGAAAAGCGAAGAAAUAGUUGAAAGGCACGCCGAAGUAAAUCCUUGCACAACCACACAACGAAAUAAUUUACGAGAAGAAAUCACAAGAAACUAUCUGUUCACUAAAAUGUUUUUUUUAUGCCAAAAAAAUAUAGCAUUAAUGAAUUAUGUAAUAAAGCGCAAAGAAACGCUAGAGAAAAAGGGAAAUGGUAUCAUUUCCUAGACGAAGACACUCGCGCACGACCACAACACCAGCUCCCACAAAAAUCUAUUCAAAACUGAAAUGAAAUAUUGUACAAAAAUGUCAAAUGGUGAUGAGGGCGCUAGGUUCGCGCUCGCAACAUUGUCGGAUUCGUUGGUUGUAUACCCAACUUCAAUGUUGUUGAUCGAAGAUACCAAAGGUGCGAAAAUAAUAACACAAACACUUUAAUAAUACAAUGCAUGCUCUGCAUACAAGCCACCUAAAAUUUUAUCUAUUAAAGAAACUUUAGUUUGAUUUGUGUAUAAU
This is a long non-coding RNA of Bombyx mori (domestic silkworm), 1981 nucleotides long. RefSeq lists it as uncharacterized. The record is from RefSeq and is a predicted model, not a curated record. The transcript has 2 exons. NCBI's taxonomy places the organism in Eukaryota, Metazoa, Arthropoda, Insecta, Lepidoptera, Bombycidae.